GGCUUAACACAUGCAAGUCGAGCGGUAGCACAGGCGAGCUUGCUCCCCGGGUGACGAGCGGCGGACGGGUGAGUAAUGUCUGGGAAACUGCCUGAUGGAGGGGGAUAACUACUGGAAACGGUAGCUAAUACCGCAUAACGUCGCAAGACCAAAGAGGGGGACCUUCGGGCCUCUUGCCAUCAGAUGUGCCCAGAUGGGAUUAGCUAGUAGGUGGGGUAAUGGCUCACCUAGGCGACGAUCCCUAGCUGGUCUGAGAGGAUGACCAGCCACACUGGAACUGAGACACGGUCCAGACUCCUACGGGAGGCAGCAGUGGGGAAUAUUGCACAAUGGGCGCAAGCCUGAUGCAGCCAUGCCGCGUGUGUGAAGAAGGCCUUCGGGUUGUAAAGUACUUUCAGCGGGGAGGAAGGUGUUGUGGUUAAUAACCGCAGCAAUUGACGUUACCCGCAGAAGAAGCACCGGCUAACUCCGUGCCAGCAGCCGCGGUAAUACGGAGGGUGCAAGCGUUAAUCGGAAUUACUGGGCGUAAAGCGCACGCAGGCGGUUUGUUAAGUCAGAUGUGAAAUCCCCGGGCUCAACCUGGGGACUGCAUUUGAAACUGGCAAGCUAGAGUCUCGUAGAGGGGGGUAGAAUUCCAGGUGUAGCGGUGAAAUGCGUAGAGAUCUGGAGGAAUACCGGUGGCGAAGGCGGCCCCCUGGACGAAGACUGACGCUCAGGUGCGAAA
This 724-nucleotide ribosomal RNA is filed under the name uncultured Enterobacterales bacterium. RNAcentral's name for it is "bacterial SSU rRNA". It matches the Rfam family "Bacterial small subunit ribosomal RNA", at positions 45 to 758 of the family's 1533-position model. Lineage: Bacteria; Pseudomonadati; Pseudomonadota; Gammaproteobacteria; Enterobacterales. The record is from RNAcentral.